CUUUUCCAGUUGCGGCGCCGCGCGGUGAGGUUGUCUAGUCCACGCUCGGAGCCAUGCCGUCCAAGGGCCCGCUGCAGUCGGUGCAGGUCUUCGGACGCAAGAAGACAGCGACAGCUGUGGCGCACUGCAAACGCGGCAAUGGUCUCAUCAAGGUGAACGGGCGGCCCCUGGAGAUGAUUGAGCCGCGCACGCUACAGUACAAGGUGCUGGGAUCCGGCACCGGCGUUGAGUGGAUGGAGGACUCUUGGAGACAGAGAUGUUGUAGCUCUUGAAAGCUGAGGGGGCUGGUAUCAGCAACGGGAUGUUUAGAAGUUGUGUUGGGUGUAGAACAGUGGGGUAUUUGGCAAUAGAGCUGGGCUUGGGGUUCAGAAGAUGUAAAUGCUGAGAUGGGGGUGUUGAAGAUUAAGGGGUUGCUUUGAAAAGUGGGAUGUUAGGAAGCUCACCUAACUGGGGCGGGGGGACCAAAAGGGUGAAGGGACACCGGCUAUUUUUUAUUUUAUUUAUUUGUUUUGAGAGGGAGUCUCGCUGUAUCGCCCAGGCUGGAGUGUAGUGGCGCGAUCUCGGAUCACUGCAACCUUCGCCUCCCGGGUUAAAGCGAUUCUCCUGCCUCAGCCUCUUGAGUAGCUGAGAUUACAGGCAUGCACCACCACGCCCGGCUAAUUUUUGUAUUUUUAGUAGAGACGGGGUUUCACCAUAUUGGCCAGACUGGUCUCGAACUCAUUACCUCAGGUGAUCCACCAGCCUCGGCCUCCCAAAGUGCUGGGAUUGCAGGCGUCAGCCACCGUGUGCGGCCGAAUUUGGGUCUGUUUAAAUGCUUGCUUGUAAAAGGGGUUCCUCUGUUCCCUUUUUGGGACUCUCAAUUUCUUUGGCUCAGAAUGGAAAGAAACCAGAGUCUGACUUCUGCCCCUUCUGAACUCUACUACUUUUAAAAGAAAGAAUAUCUACAUUGCAGGGUCAGUUAAAAAAAUUUUUUUUGAGUUAUAAGGUUCUUAUUUAAGAACAGUAUCUUGCUGUCACCUACCCUGGAGUGCAGUAGCACAAUCCUAAUGAACUGCAGCCUUAAACUCCUGAGUUGGAGAUCCUCCCACCUCAGCCUUUCGGUUGCCAAGACUACAGGCACAUCACCACGCCUGGCUCAUUUGAGAAAUAUUUUUUUGUAGACGUGGGGUCUCACUUUAUUGCCCAGGCUGGUCCUUGGUCUCAAGUGAUCCUUCUGCCUGGACUGGGAUUACAGGUGUGAUCACCAUGCCUGGCCUAGAAUUUAAUAAAAAUUCUGAGAUUUCCUUUGUGUAGCAGAUGUUGAAUGUUACUGUUAUUGGCUGUCACUGUAUUUGAAGGAUUUGUAUGUGUACCCUCUGUUGAGUUUUGGGGACAUAGCAGUGAUCCAGAUGACUUCAGGUCUUGCCUUCAUGGACCUGCCAGCCUAGUUGGGGAGAAGGACUGGGCCCAAUACCAGAAGCUGAUCCAAAGUGGUCAGAACUGGGGAAGGAGACCUGUGAGCUGAAAGCAGGUAAAGGAAGUAUCCAGACAGAGGCACUGGUAAAAGACCUGGAGCUGGGAAGGGUCUAGGGACCAGGGACAGGUUGUACUGUAAUUCUGGAAACCUGUGAGGCUCAAAGAAAGGGCAGAGAGCUCAGGUGGGAAAUAGAAAAGGCACCUGAACAGUCCAGGGAUGGCUUUCGACUGCUUGAAACAGCCUUGGGAGUUUCAGAAGCUAUUGGAAUGCUUACUGUUCAGCCUUCUAAGAACCAGUCUUAGAGGUAGGGUGUCUGAGGUCCAGUGAGGGACACAAGUAGGAGGGAGCCCAGAUCUUGUUCCCUUUACCUUGCCUAUAUUUCUUAACACCACUUCAGCAGUCUCACAUCUGGCUUUUUUGACUUUCCUCUUCUCUGGGUCUGUAGAGGGGCUUGGAGUGACACCCUGACCCCCAUCCACUAGUACUUGAAGGCCAGUGGUGGCAGAAGCCACAGAAACAAGAAGCCCAGUGAGAUGGCUAAGCUGCCCAGCAUGUAACUUAAAUCCCUGUUCAUUCCCCAUUCCUUUAGCUGCUGGAGCCAGUUCUGCUUCUCGGCAAGGAGCGAUUUGCUGGUGUAGACAUCCGUGUCCGUGUAAAGGGUGGUGGUCACGUGGCCCAGAUUUAUGCUAUCCGUCAGUCCAUCUCCAAAGCCCUGGUGGCCUAUUACCAGAAAUAUGUGGAUGAGGCUUCCAAGAAGGAGAUCAAAGACAUCCUCAUCCAGUAUGACCGGACCCUGCUGGUAGCUGAUCCUCGUCGCUGCGAGUCCAAAAAGUUUGGAGGCCCUGGUGCCCGUGCUCGCUACCAGAAAUCCUACCGAUAAGCCCAUCGUGACUCAAAAUUCACUUGUAUAAUAAACAGUUUUUGAGGGAU
Molecule: small RNA, 2386 nt
Filed under: Pan troglodytes (chimpanzee)
Lineage: Eukaryota; Metazoa; Chordata; Mammalia; Primates; Hominidae
Description: retained intron
Source: RNAcentral